RNAcentral lists this ribosomal RNA (253 nucleotides) under uncultured bacterium. RNAcentral describes it as "partial 16S ribosomal RNA". It matches the Rfam family "Bacterial small subunit ribosomal RNA", at positions 524 to 776 of the family's 1533-position model. The record is from RNAcentral.
GACAGAGGAUGCAAGCGUUAUCCGGAAUGAUUGGGCGUAAAGCGUCUGUAGGUGGCUUUUCAAGUCCGCCGUCAAAUCCCAGGGCUCAACCCUGGACAGGCGGUGGAAACUGCCAAGCUGGGGUACGGUAGGGGCAGAGGGAAUUUUCGGUGGAGCGGUGAAAUGCGUAGAGAUCGGAAAGAACACCAACGGCGAAAGCACUCUGCUGGGCCGACACUGACACUGAGAGACGAAAGCUAGGGGAGCGAAUGGG